This 253-nucleotide ribosomal RNA is filed under the name uncultured bacterium. Its description in RNAcentral is "partial 16S ribosomal RNA". It matches the Rfam family "Bacterial small subunit ribosomal RNA", at positions 524 to 776 of the family's 1533-position model. The record is from RNAcentral.
GACAGAGGGUGCAAACGUUGCUCGGAAUCACUGGGCGUAAAGGGCGUGUAGGCGGGAAGUAAAGUCAGAUGUGAAAUCCCUGGGCUCAACCCAGGAACUGCAUUUGAAACUCACUUUCUUGAGUACCGGAGAGGAAGGUGGAAUACCUGGUGUAGAGGUGAAAUUCGUAGAUAUCAGGUGGAACACCAGUGGCGAAGGCGGCCUUCUGGACGGUAACUGACGCUGAGACGCGAAGGCGUGGGGAGCAAACAGG